GUCUUGUAAUUGGAAUGAUGGUGACCUAAACCCUCACCAGAGUAACAAUUGGAGGGCAAGUCUGGUGCCAGCAGCCGCGGUAAUUCCAGCUCCAAUAGCGUAUAUUAAACUUGUUGCAGUUAAAAAGCUCGUAGUUGAAUUUUUGCGUCACCGUGUAUCGACAUUUGUCGUUUAUCGGUUUCGCUUUUGGGAUUUAUCCCUUUUUACUUUGAGAAAAUUAGAGUGUUUCAAGCAGACUUUUGUCUUGAAUACUUCAGCAUGGAAUAAUAGAGUAGGACUUUGGUUCUAUUUUGUUGGUUUGUGAACCUUAGUAAUGGUUAAUAGGAACGGUUGGGGGCAUUCGUAUUUAACUGUCAGAGGUGAAAUUCUUAGAUUUGUUAAAGACGAACUACUGCGAAAGCAUUUGCCAAGGACGUUUUCAUUAAUCAAGAACGAAAGUUAGGGGAUCGAAGACGAUCAGAUACCGUCGUAGUCCUAACCAUAAACUAUGCCGACUAGGGAUUGGAGGUCGUCAUUUUUCCGAAUCUUUAAUUCUG
RNAcentral lists this ribosomal RNA (536 nucleotides) under Babesia odocoilei. Its description in RNAcentral is "SSU rRNA". It matches the Rfam family "Eukaryotic small subunit ribosomal RNA", at positions 500 to 1088 of the family's 1831-position model. Lineage: Eukaryota; Apicomplexa; Aconoidasida; Piroplasmida; Babesiidae. The record is from RNAcentral.